This is a long non-coding RNA of Rosa rugosa (rugosa rose), 962 nucleotides long. RefSeq lists it as uncharacterized. Lineage: Eukaryota; Viridiplantae; Streptophyta; Magnoliopsida; Rosales; Rosaceae. The record is from RefSeq and is a predicted model, not a curated record. The transcript has 5 exons.
UUGCUGCGCGCUAAAAAGGCUGAAAAUUAAACUUCCCUCCUUGUAGAAAACGAAAAAGUUGAAACUUUAAUAGUCACACAAGCUCAACAUUGAGCUCUCCGCCUUCAUCUCCAAGCUCUCCUCCCUUGGCACAGCGCCUCCGCCUCUUCCUCUUCCUCCUCGUCGACGCCUCGAAUUCCUUUCAGAUCCAGUCACCGGAAGACUUUUCUCCCACCGCUCUGGCCUCUACCUCCUCCAUCAACCCCGACGAAUUGGACAAGGGAUAUGCCUGAUUCUAUCCCUCCGCCGACGGUUCCUGAUUCUCUUUUGAAGGCAUUCCCGGCGAUGAUGUCAUUAUAGUUUAGCAAGGCAAGAAUCCCGGCGACCCGAUCGUUGUCACGGUCAAUUGCCCCGACGAGGCCCGGCCUCGGCUACGACCUCUGCAUAAUUGUGCUCCAGUUCGGCCUUUACAUUACCAAAGGAGGGAUGUAAUAGGUGAAGGGGAAACAAAUGGAGGAAAUCCUUAUAUUAAGAGCAUGUUACAAUUUUGGCUGGUGUUCUCCUUCACUGCUCUAUUUCACCCAAAGAUGAUGGCCGGUAUGUACUCAUUCAAUCUUGUUUUCUUCCUUGGUGAGACAAUUUUGAAUAGCUUGGUAUCCUGGGGUUGGAGUGAUGCAUAUCCCAUGCUAUGGCGUCUCUGCUUUAAUUGUUAGAAUGAAGCAGUUGUGGUUCUCAAGAUCAUUCCUGGAGUCUUUUCAGGGUGAGAGGUGUCGUUGCGUGCAUUGAAUCACAAGAGUGUCGAUCUUGGAGUAAUAUUAGUCUUACAUUAUUGCUUGUUGGGUCAGCAAUAGUCUAGUUUUGCUUGGUGUUCUUUUCUAAGUAUGUUCUGAAUUGGCUUCAAGCCUUUUAGCUUUGAUGAAUAUAUGAUAUUGCUUCAAUUAAUGUUUGGGUGAUCAUGGAUAAAUAGAGAAUUAUAAUACUAU